GGCUAGGGAAGCGGCAGAAGAGGAAGAACGAAACGUUGCACGAGUAUCUGUACGCUCUGAUGGAGUGGGCAAAGCCAAUCGAGAUGGAUGACGAAAGUUUAAUUGAAUAUUUUGUCAGCGGGAUUCCAGAUUCUAGUACAAACAAGGCUUUACUGUAUCAAGCUAGGAAUAUGAGGCAAUUGAAGGUGCAAAUUGAGGCAUACCAGAAAAUGACAGGGUCGGUGUGAUCACAAGGGAAGUUUUGACUCACACUUCAAUAAAGGAGAAAAAUAGUUAGUGAAAUCAGCGGAAAAGUUUAAAAAUUGUUUUAACUGCGGAGAUGAGUCGCAUAUUAAGCGGGAUGGUCCAAAAAGAGAUAACAGGUGUUUCAGAUGCAACCAGCUAGGACAUAGAGCUGCUCAGUGCAAGGUCGACAUGGCAAUUAAACAGGAGAAAGCAACCAAUCUAGUUCUGGAGAAUGGUAGGACAAAGCCAUCAAGCACGUUCACUUCGUCAGGAUUAGAGUUGAAAUCGGUAAACUACGGAAAAGUUGUGUUUAAAGGAUUGGUCGAUACAGGUGCAGAUUUGUGUCUUCUAAGCAGAAAUGUGUUUUUGAAGCUUGGUAGAGGAAAACUGGCAGGACGUAGUAAAUGUUUAACGGGAAUUGGUGAAAGCUAAAUUAUGACUUUCGGUAGUAUCACAAUACCUGUGCAGAUUGAUGACAUUGACUUAAUUGUAGAAUUUCACGUAAUUGCGGACGAGGACAUGGGAUUUGAUGCUAUAUUGGGUAGAACUCUUUUAGAGAGUGUGGACAUGAAGGUAACAAGAGAUGGAACAGCACUAGUCCUCAGAUCAGGAAGUCAAGUAAGUACUAGGCGCAAUGUUCCAGAACAUAGAGAUGAGAGGGAAAAUGUUAAUUCAUGUACGGAGUUGCUGAAUGAGUUUCAGAGUUUGUGUAUGGUGAACUUAGAGCAGAGUGAAGCUAUAAAUAUUGAUUUGUCACAUUUGCCCUAUUCAGAGAGAGAUCAAAUAAGAAAGAUAAUUGAGGAAUACAAGCCGAGUCGAAAUGUGCAUUGCCCUAUAGAGAUGAAAAUUGUACUAACAAAUGAUUUACCUGUGUAUCAGCAUCCUAGGCGUAUGGCUUAUAGUGAGCAGAACAUAGUAGACGAGCAGGUCAACGAGUGGUUAGCACAAAAAAUAAUAAAGCACAGUACAUCAGAAUAUGCCUCUCCGAUUGUAUUAGUACCAAAGAAGAAUGGACAGAAACGUCUAUGCUGCGAUUAUCGAAAGUUAAAUGAGAAAAUAGUGCGAGAUAACUUUCCGAUGGUACAGAUGCAGGAUGUUAUUGAGAAAUUUUGUAGUUCAGUCACAAAAGUAUACAUCAUUUGUAACGCAGAAAGGACAAUAUGAGUUCCUAUUUGUACCGUUUGGGAUUUCGAAUUCGCCUGCAAUCUUCACACGUUUCAUUGUUGCGGUAAUGAGAGAAUUGGUUCAGAAGGGUGACGCUGUAGUAUAUAUGGAUGAUAUCAUUAUACCAAGUAAGGAUGUUAAGGAAGGCUUACAGAAGUUGAAAAGAGUGCUAGAAGUGACAAGAAAGAAUGGUUUGAAGAUAAACUAGAGUAAAGGUCAAAUUUUGCAAAGUAAGGUAGAUUUCUUGGGGUAUGUUAUAGAAAAUGGUACCAUAACACCCGGUAAGGAGAAAACGUAGAAAACGAGAAAGCGUAGCAAACUUUCCGAUCCCAAAGGAUAAAAAAGCUAUACAACGAUUCAUUGGGCUGACUUCUUAUUUCAGGAAAUUCAUUGAAGGAUACGCAGUACCAAAGAAGAAUGGACAGAAACGUCUAUGCUGCGAUUAUCGAAAGUUAAAUGAGAAAAUAGUGCGAGAUAACUUUCCGAUGGUACAGAUGCAGGAUGUUAUUGAGAAAUUUUGUAGUUCAGUCACAAAAGUAUACAUCAUUUGUAACGCAGAAAGGACAAUAUGAGUUCCUAUUUGUACCGUUUGGGAUUUCGAAUUCGCCUGCAAUCUUCACACGUUUCAUUGUUGCGGUAAUGAGAGAAUUGGUUCAGAAGGGUGACGCUGUAGUAUAUAUGGAUGAUAUCAUUAUACCAAGUAAGGAUGUUAAGGAAGGCUUACAGAAGUUGAAAAGAGUGCUAGAAGUGACAAGAAAGAAUGGUUUGAAGAUAAACUAGAGUAAAGGUCAAAUUUUGCAAAGUAAGGUAGAUUUCUUGGGGUAUGUUAUAGAAAAUGGUACCAUAACACCCGGUAAGGAGAAAACACAGUGCGUAGCAAACUUUCCGAUCCCAAAGGA
Molecule: long non-coding RNA, 2288 nt
Organism: Drosophila miranda
Lineage: Eukaryota; Metazoa; Arthropoda; Insecta; Diptera; Drosophilidae
Exons: 3
Source: RefSeq, a predicted model, not a curated record